UGAAAACCCUGCUCAAGACCAACAUUUGAUUUCAAGACAGGUGUGGAGUAGCUGCCAGGUCAAAAACUGGGCCACAAAACUCACAUUGUCUAAGGGAACAUGGCUGACCAAGAAUGAAAAAGAAGAAGCAUCUGCAGCUGAAUUUUGUCUCUUCUGGCUAGAACUCUUGUGAGAAAGAAGCAAGUCUGGGAUGGAGGCUUUCAUCUGCCUGAGAGAGCUGGAAUCAUCUGCAAACCUUGUAGUCAAGUGUGUUGACAAAUAAAGAAAAAUCAUCAGAUGAUGAAUAUUCA
Molecule: long non-coding RNA, 290 nt
Filed under: Chloebia gouldiae (Gouldian finch)
Lineage: Eukaryota; Metazoa; Chordata; Aves; Passeriformes; Passeridae
Description: Erythrura gouldiae (Gouldian finch) lncRNA (ENSEGOG00005000903.1)
Source: RNAcentral